CACCUCACCUCGGGGUGUCGGUUGGUGAACCGUCUGAGAUGUCCGUACCGCGGACGAACCCGUUGAACCUGAACCGGUUAAAACCGGCGGAGGGAAGGGUGCGGGCCGCUACG
RNAcentral lists this non-coding RNA (113 nucleotides) under Antarctobacter heliothermus. RNAcentral describes it as "TPP sequence". It matches the Rfam family "TPP riboswitch aptamer (THI element)". Rfam says of the family: Vitamin B(1) in its active form thiamin pyrophosphate (TPP) is an essential coenzyme that is synthesised by coupling of pyrimidine and thiazole moieties in bacteria. The previously detected thiamin-regulatory element, thi box was extended, resulting in a new, highly conserved RNA secondary structure, the THI element, which is widely distributed in eubacteria and also occurs in some archaea. Lineage: Bacteria; Pseudomonadati; Pseudomonadota; Alphaproteobacteria; Rhodobacterales; Roseobacteraceae. The record is from Rfam by way of RNAcentral.